GGGAUAGCUCAGUUGGUUAGAGCGCCAGAUUGUGGCUCUGGAGGCCGUGGGUUCGAAUCCCAUUCUC
RNAcentral lists this transfer RNA (67 nucleotides) under uncultured Niameybacter sp. It matches the Rfam family "tRNA". Rfam says of the family: Transfer RNA (tRNA) molecules are approximately 80 nucleotides in length. Their secondary structure includes four short double-helical elements and three loops (D, anti-codon, and T loops). Further hydrogen bonds mediate the characteristic L-shaped molecular structure. tRNAs have two regions of fundamental functional importance: the anti-codon, which is responsible for specific mRNA codon recognition, and the 3' end, to which the tRNAs corresponding amino acid is attached (by aminoacyl-tRNA synthetases). tRNAs cope with the degeneracy of the genetic code in two manners: having more than one tRNA (with a specific anti-codon) for a particular amino acid; and 'wobble' base-pairing, i.e. permitting non-standard base-pairing at the 3rd anti-codon position. Lineage: Bacteria; Bacillati; Bacillota; Clostridia; Lachnospirales; Lachnospiraceae. The record is from RNAcentral.